This 111-nucleotide non-coding RNA is filed under the name Compsopogon caeruleus. Lineage: Eukaryota; Rhodophyta; Compsopogonophyceae; Compsopogonales; Compsopogonaceae. The record is from RNAcentral.
CCUCAAGUUAUAAAUUUUAUUUUUUCUUCCGUGAUGGGGCGGCGUCGCGUGGUAGUUACUGGACUUGGUCUUGUGACACCCUUAGGAGUCGGACGAGAACUAAAUUGGACU